Molecule: long non-coding RNA, 307 nt
Filed under: Nicotiana benthamiana
Lineage: Eukaryota; Viridiplantae; Streptophyta; Magnoliopsida; Solanales; Solanaceae
Description: long non-coding RNA (NBEN_LNC015258)
Source: RNAcentral
CCAGAUUGAUGAUAUCGGUGAACUUCUACCCCUCUACCAGUAUUAAGCUCUCGUAAUAUUGUGGGUCCUGAGCAUGAACGAAAAAAUAUGUUCAUUUGUUCUUCUUCCAAAGUCGGCCUAACCUUAGCCGCUUCUGACCUCCAACGAGUACCAUACUCGUGAAAGGUUUCAGUAGGAUUCUUCUUCAAAGUCUGAAUGUAGAACAGGUCUGGCACAUUUUCAGUGUUGAAUCUGAAAUGGUCCAUGAAAUCGGAUGCCAUGUUUACCCAACUCGUCCACUUCUCCGCAUCUUGGCUGAUGCACCAAG